UGGCCUUUUCNACCCAAGACACCAUGGGC
This 29-nucleotide non-coding RNA is filed under the name Homo sapiens (human). The record is from RNAcentral. Lineage: Eukaryota; Metazoa; Chordata; Mammalia; Primates; Hominidae.